This 1140-nucleotide long non-coding RNA is filed under the name Equus asinus (donkey). Its description in RNAcentral is "lncRNA (ENSEASG00005033967.1)". Lineage: Eukaryota; Metazoa; Chordata; Mammalia; Perissodactyla; Equidae. The record is from RNAcentral.
UUAGCGAGAGAAAAGACAGAUUUUUAUUCACGUAUGUAUGUACUUGGGAGUUCACAGAGAAAUGUGACUCAAAGCAGUGGUUAGAAUUUGGGGCUUAUCUGCCAUCUUAGGGGGAGUUGACAGGGGAAGGGAGAAGGGCACUUAUAGGAAAACAAGCGACCUUUGGAAAGAUGAAGGGGCCCUUCAGAGGAGUGGCAGGAGCCGGCAGAGCUGUGCACAGUGUCUGUUCGGGUGUGGUGUGUAGCCUGCUCGUCUCCGUGGUGACAGUCUUCCCUGGCUGCUGCAAGGAAGAGAUUUAUGACAACUGGAUUCUUCUGAGUUCUUUUUGGGAGGUUCCGCUCUCAGACAGACAAGAGAUUUCAGGAACUCAAACGCCUUCUGGUCAAAUGAUUUUUACACCCCAGCACUGUAUUCUGAACCCCUGCACCGCCCUCUCCAGUCCCUCCACCACUUUGCAGAAGCAGUGAGUAACCCGGAAUGAACGCUGUUGCUAUGGAGAUGCUUGGGCCAGACUCUAGACCAGUGACCUGCAAAACACAGAACCUUCUGGAGCACGGGGCAGGGCCAGGGCAACACGCCCACGGACGGACGCCAGAUGGCCCAGGACAACCAGUGGCCACCCAGCCUCAGCCACCAGCAUCUCCCAGUUGCAUCGUCCUGCCAGGCUGGGCGUUUUGUUGGCUGGGUUUUUUUAUUGUCAAGUUGUUCUAAAGGUUUAUUUUUCUCCUUUCCUCCAACAAAAUUGAUGCCCUUGCCCUUCAGGCUGCCGUCGGCUUCAGGCAGAGAAAUGCAACAGGGGAGCCUGUGGCUGUCCAGCUCGUGAGGACGAGGCAGAAAGCACACUGGAAACCAAGAGCUCACAAACCCCACGAUGUUCAGGGCGUGGCUACAGCCCCUGUCUUGUGGCCCCUGCCCGGUCCUAUUUCCGAGGUGCCACCUCAUUCCCCCUCCUCCGUAUCCGGGCUCUGGCCCUCCUCCACCCAAGCAGAGCGGUACCCUGGCAUCAUAACAAUGGGCUGCCUGGUUCCUGGCUAUUCCCCGGGCCGCAGCCACUGACCACGGCCUGUAACUGGGGAGUGAGUGCCCCUUUCCCACUUCCGUCCUCCUCCCUUCUUCCUUCCAGCUCCUCCUACAGCUGGC